Molecule: transfer RNA, 72 nt
Filed under: Hernandia nymphaeifolia
Lineage: Eukaryota; Viridiplantae; Streptophyta; Magnoliopsida; Laurales; Hernandiaceae
Description: tRNA-Met
Source: RNAcentral
GGCUUAUAGUUGAAACAUUGGUUGAAACGUACCGCUCAUAACGGUGAUAUUGUAGGUUCGAGCCCCCUACCA